GCGCACGCAGGCGGUCUGUCAAGUCGGAUGUGAAAUCCCCGGGCUCAACCUGGGAACUGCAUUCGAAACUGGCAGGCUAGAGUCUUGUAGAGGGGGGUAGAAUUCCAGGUGUAGCGGUGAAAUGCGUAGAGAUCUGGAGGAAUACCGGUGGCGAAGGCGGCCCCCUGGACAAAGACUGACGCUCAGGUGCGAAAGCGUGGGGAGCAAACAGGAUUAGAUACCCUGGUAGUCCACGCCGUAAACGAUGUCGAUUUGGAGGUUGUUCCCUUGAGGAGUGGCUUCCGGAGCUAACGCGUUAAAUCGACCGCCUGGGGAGUACGGCCGCAAGGUUAAAACUCAAAUGAAUUGACGGGGGCCCGCACAAGCGGUGGAGCAUGUGGUUU
RNAcentral lists this ribosomal RNA (383 nucleotides) under Enterobacter sp. CR1. Its description in RNAcentral is "bacterial SSU rRNA". It matches the Rfam family "Bacterial small subunit ribosomal RNA", at positions 565 to 947 of the family's 1533-position model. The record is from RNAcentral. Lineage: Bacteria; Pseudomonadati; Pseudomonadota; Gammaproteobacteria; Enterobacterales; Enterobacteriaceae.